ACAGAGGGGACAAGCGUUAUUCGGAAAAAUUGGGCAUAAAGGGCGAGUAGGCGGUGUCUUAAGUGAGAUGUGUAAUCCCCGAGCUUAACUUGGGAACUGCAUCUCAGACUGGGGCGCUAGAGUGCUGGAGAGGGUGUUAUAAUUCCACGUGUAGCGGUGAUAUGCGUAGAGAUGUGGAGGAAUACCAGUGGCGAAGUCGGCAACGUGGCCAGUCUCAUACGCUGAGGGGCGAAUGUGUGGGGAACAAAUAG
Molecule: ribosomal RNA, 251 nt
Filed under: uncultured prokaryote
Description: partial 16S rRNA
Rfam family: Bacterial small subunit ribosomal RNA
Source: RNAcentral